This 465-nucleotide ribosomal RNA is filed under the name uncultured bacterium. RNAcentral describes it as "partial 16S ribosomal RNA". It matches the Rfam family "Bacterial small subunit ribosomal RNA", at positions 338 to 795 of the family's 1533-position model. The record is from RNAcentral.
CCUACGGGAGGCUGCAGUAGGGAAUCUUCCACAAUGGGCGAAAGCCUGAUGGAGCAACGCCGCGUGGGUGAAGAAGGUCUUCGGAUCGUAAAACCCUGUUGUUAGAGAAGAAAGUGCGUGAGAGUAACUGUUCACGUUUCGACGGUAUCUAACCAGAAAGCCACGGCUAACUACGUGCCAGCAGCCGCGGUAAUACGUAGGUGGCAAGCGUUAUCCGGAUUUAUUGGGCGUAAAGGGAACGCAGGCGGUCUUUUAAGUCUGAUGUGAAAGCCUUCGGCUUAACCGGAGUAGUGCAUUGGAAACUGGGAGACGUGAGUGCAGAAGAGGAGAGUGGAAUUCCAUGUGUAGCGGUGAAAUGCGUAGAUAUAUGGAAGAACACCAGUGGCGAAAGCGGCUCUCUGGUCUGUAACUGACGCUGAGGUUCGAAAGCGUGGGUAGCAAACAGGAUUAGAUACCCUGGUAGUC